Molecule: ribosomal RNA, 468 nt
Filed under: uncultured bacterium
Lineage: Bacteria
Description: partial 16S ribosomal RNA
Rfam family: Bacterial small subunit ribosomal RNA
Source: RNAcentral
GACGAACGCUGGCGGCGUGCUAAACACAUGCAAGUAGAACGGAAAGGCCCUGCUUUUGGGGGGGGCUCGAGUGGCGAACGGGUGAGUAACACGUGAGUAACCUGCCCUAGACUUCGGGAUAACGUCAGGAAACUGGGGCUAAUACCUGAUAGGAGCUCCUGCUGCAUGGUGGGGGUUGGAAAGUUUCGGCGGUUGUGGAUGCACUCGCGGCUUAUCAGCUUGUGGGUGGGGUAGUGGCUUACCAAGGCUUUGACGGGUAGCCGGCCUGAGAGGGUUACCGGCCUAAUGGGACCUGAUAUGCGGCCCGGUCUCCUGUGGGAGUCAGCAGUGGGGCAUAUUUCACGAUGGGCCGAAGCAUGAUGCAGCAACGCAGCGUCCGGGCUGACGGCCUUCGGGUUGUAGACCGCUUUCGACUGUGACGAUGAGUGCGUGUCGUUAAUGAGUAGACACGCACCGGCUCACUACGUG